CCUACGGGUGGCAGCAGUGAGGAAUAUUGGUCAAUGGACGUGAGCCUGAACCAGCCAAGUAGCGUGAAGGAUGACUGUUCUAUGGGUCGUAAACCUCUUUUAUAUGGGAAUAAAAUAUGGUACGUAUACUCUUUUGUAUGUACCAUAUGAAUAAGGAUCGGCUAACUCCGUGCCAGCAGCCGCGGUAAUACGGAGGAUCCGAGCGUUAUCCGGAUUUAUUGGGUUUAAAGGGUGCGUAGGUGGCUUGUUAAGUCAGUUGUGAAAGUGUGCGGCUCAACCGUAAAAUUGCAGUUGAAACUGGCAGUCUUGAGUACAGUAGAGGUAGGCGGAAUGCGUGGUGUAGCGGUGAAAUGCUUAGAUAUCACGAAGAACUCCGAUUGCGAAGGCAGCUCACUAGACUGCGACUGACACUGAUGCACGAAAGUGUGGGUAUCAAACAGGAUUAGAUACCCGGGUAGUC
This 460-nucleotide ribosomal RNA is filed under the name uncultured bacterium. RNAcentral's name for it is "partial 16S ribosomal RNA". It matches the Rfam family "Bacterial small subunit ribosomal RNA", at positions 338 to 795 of the family's 1533-position model. The record is from RNAcentral.